RNAcentral lists this long non-coding RNA (296 nucleotides) under Populus tremula. RNAcentral's name for it is "long non-coding RNA (PTRE_LNC001344)". The record is from RNAcentral. Lineage: Eukaryota; Viridiplantae; Streptophyta; Magnoliopsida; Malpighiales; Salicaceae.
ACGCACACGGAUGUUUAGCCAAAUCGAACUUUAUGAGCAGUUGAGAAAUGCCUAGCUGCUGCCACCAUUUCCUCCUCCGGCCUGAAGGGUGCUGAGUUUCUUGAAGACCUGGCGGCCUCAACAUCAGAGCUUGCAGCGUCAUGGAAGAAGAAAACCAACCACCUUAAAAAGGCGGCACGCCGACUUGUGCUCCUCUCCCUGUAGCCCAUUUUGUUCAAGAAAGACUGCUAUGUUAUCCCUCAAUCAAGAACAGUCGAGUCGAAUUAUGAUAAAAGCAGAUGUAUAAAUGCUUGCUU